AGGGAGGGCUCCCGGCAUCUCCCUGCUUCGGGGCAGAGGAUGCCGGGGGUAGAGUACGGGAGGGCUGGAGCGAGGGUGGACUGGAGGUGCCGCUUGUCCUGGAGGUGGGAGAGAGGGAGCGGCUUUGCCGCCUGGCCUGCGUCCUAAUCCUGUCCUGGUUCUUCUGCUCCCGAAGGGAACGUCGCAGCUUCAUGGCCUGAUGCCUUCAGGAAGUAUUUUGAAGUCAUCGUGGCUGUGGAUUGGGGGAUUUCUUGUUUCCACUGACCUGUGAGGCCGCGCACGUGGAGGGAGGCACCCCGGGUCCUCCGGCACUGUCCGGCCUCGCCUGUGUCCCUAGUAGCAGUGGGCAUUUCCAGACGGUGCAGCUUGUGGCUAAAGUGACAGGAAGAUGUAGGAGCUUUCAGUCUUGGAUGAGGAUUCGAACUGAAGGGCUUAGGCCCAGCUGUCUUGGAGCAAAACAUCUGUUGUGGGACUCCCACAGGCUGGGUGAUGGUGGGAGAUUUGUGCCCAUUCAGAUGUGGCGGCAGAGGAGGGCAAGGCCGAAGGAGCAGACAGCACCGCUUCUUGGGGAGUUGUGAAGGCAUCAUGCGGAGGGCCGAGCUUAGCAGCCAAGUGGAGGACAGCACCCUCCAUGCCUGGAUUCGUUACUCGCUCGUUCUCGAUGUUGAGCUGCUGGCAUAUUGCAGCACAACUAGAGAUGUACGGAUGCCCCCAUCUUGAUCUUACAGAAUCAGAGGUGCAGCCGCAAGAAAGCUACACCCUCUCGGUUUUCUCUGCUCUGCCAACACUAGUGGAAUAUGAUCACAUCCCAGGGAUCAGUGUCAUUUAGGGAUGUGACUAUGGGCUUCACUCAAGAGGAGUGGCAUCAUCUGGACCCUGCUCAGAGGACCCUGUAGAGGAAUGUGAUGCUGGAGAACUACAGCCACCUUGUCUCAGUAGGGUAUUGCAUUCCUAAACCAGAAGUGAUCCUCAAAUUGGAGACAGGCAAGGAGCCAUGGAUAUUAGAGGAAAAA
Molecule: long non-coding RNA, 1013 nt
Organism: Homo sapiens (human)
Lineage: Eukaryota; Metazoa; Chordata; Mammalia; Primates; Hominidae
Gene: ZNF37BP
Product: zinc finger protein 37B, pseudogene
Source: Ensembl